GAUGAAGAACGUAGCGAAAUGCGAUAAGUAAUGUGAAUUGCAGAAUUCAGUGAAUCAUCGAAUCUUUGAACGCACAUUGCGCCCCCUGGUAUUCCGGGGGGCAUGCCUGUCCGAGCGUCAUUGCUGCCCUCAAGCACGGCUUGUGUGUUGGGCCCCCGCCCCCCGGCUCCCGGGGGGCGGGCCCGAAAGGCAGCGGCGGCACCGCGUCCGGUCCUCGAGCGUAUGGGGCUUUGUCACUCGCUCGUGUAGGUCCGGCCGGCGCCAGCCGACACCCAUCAAUCUUACCCAGGUUGACCUCGGAUCAGGUAGGGAUACCCGCUGAACUUAAGCAUAUCAAUAAGCGGAGGA
RNAcentral lists this unclassified non-coding RNA (348 nucleotides) under soil metagenome. RNAcentral describes it as "partial contains 5.8S ribosomal RNA, internal transcribed spacer 2, and large subunit ribosomal RNA". The stretch from base 1 to 120 matches the Rfam family "5.8S ribosomal RNA", at positions 35 to 154 of the family's 154-position model. The record is from RNAcentral.